UGAGUUUUAAGUUAUAUAAACUAUGAGCCUUCCAAGUUCAAAAAAAAAUGUUAAGCUCAA
RNAcentral lists this transfer RNA (60 nucleotides) under Gammarus lacustris. Its description in RNAcentral is "tRNA-Gly". Lineage: Eukaryota; Metazoa; Arthropoda; Malacostraca; Amphipoda; Gammaridae. The record is from RNAcentral.